GAUGGCACCCAGUGAGGACACAGACAGGAGUGGCCCUUGGCAAGGACACUGGGCAGGAUGGCACCUGGUGAGGACACUGGGCAGGAUGGCACCCGAUGAGGACACACAGCAGGAUGGCACCUGGUGAGGACAUGGGGCAGGAGUGGCACCCGGUGAGGACACAGACAGGAGUGGCCCUUGGCGAGGACACGGGGCAGGAUGGCACCCGAUGAGGACAUGGGACACACAGCAGGAUGGCACCCGGUGAGGACACACAGCAGGAUGGCACCCGGUGAGGACAUGGGACACACAGCAGGAUGGCACCCAGUGAGGACACACAGCAGGAUGGCACCCGGUGAGGACACACAGCAGGAUGGCACCCAGUGAGGACAUGGGACACACAGCAGGAUGGCACCUGUCCCCUCCCGAGGCUGGAUUGUCCCCGAUGGUUCCUCUGGGCCUCGCCUGGGCUUUGGAUGCUCCCUUCUGUCCGCAGCUGGAAUGGCAGGGCCGUUCCUCCUGCUCCUCCCAAAUCCCGUGGAUUUACUGCUUCUGGCUGCUUUUCCAUCGUCCUGCUGGGACUGGCUCUGGCACAGGGAAUCUCCGAGGGACGGAUGGGGACAAGCAGCACCUGCAGCCUGAGCCUGCCAUUCCCUCUUUUUCUGGGCUGCUCUGAGCGUGCUGGCUCUGCAGGAGGAAGGAUUCCAUGCCCUGCUGGAGGACAAAUCCUGCUGCUCUGAUGUUGUAACCUUUGGAAGGGAUUUCCCAUGGAUCUGACCCAUGUCCCCAGUGCCACAGGUUCCCUUUGGAAGAAGGGAUUUCCCACGGCUUGGGCACCACCAAAGUGGGAGCACAUCCCAGGGUCCCUGCUGGAGGCUCGGGGUGAGUGAGGGACAGAAGGACAGCCAGGACAGCCAGGACCAUCUCCCGAGGACAGGAUGGACACUGCAGCUGGACAGAGGGACAGAAGGACAGCCAGGACCAUCUCCCAAGGACAGGACAGACAGUGCUGGGCUGCACAUCCCUGCAGGAGCUGAGCUCCUCCCCGCGGCACUGACAGCACUCAGGAGCAAUUUCUGCUGGACUUUGGGAAUUUGGGAAUUUUCCUUGUGGAUCCUGGCCAUGGAUGGACGCUGAAGAGCUCCUGGCUCAAGCAGGAGCUCAGUGCUUUUCUCUGGCAAGGACCAAGCCCUUCCCUGCUUUCCAAUGGAUAUUUUUGGUUUUUAUUUUUGCUGGUUUUGGGGGUUUGGGUGUUUCCUGAGGCUGCUGGAGCUGCAGUGGAUCCAUGGUGGGACUGGAGCCUUUGAGAAGCAGGAGCUGAGCUGGGCCUGGGGCUCCAGACUGGCUCACCCUGGGCUGGGGGGCUCAGGAGGGUCCUGGUGCCACAGCUGGAGCAUCCCAGAGGAUCCCAGGGUGGGAAUGGGGGGAAGCCAAACCCAGCAUGGGGAGUGUCACCCUCAGAGACAAUUAAACUGCAUUUAAUUAAUUUAAUAAACCCCAUUGGCUCUGUGAGUGCUGGAUGUUG
This 1504-nucleotide long non-coding RNA is filed under the name Zonotrichia albicollis (white-throated sparrow). RNAcentral's name for it is "lncRNA (ENSZALG00000001302.1)". Lineage: Eukaryota; Metazoa; Chordata; Aves; Passeriformes; Passerellidae. The record is from RNAcentral.